GCUGAUAAUCCAGGAAGUAAGCAAAAGCAAUUUAGAAAGGGUCAGAGGCAUUAUUUCUUAAAGUUAACAGCCUUCACUCUAAGACUGGGAUGAGACAUUGUGACAACUGUUCUUAUUGCUGACUUACACAUCUUUGGGUAAGAACUCUGCACUUAGCGAGCUUGUAUUCUUCCUUCUUUUAUUUGGCUAGUCAUUUUGAGCACACCAGCAUCCUUGGAGGCAGUCACAAAGAUCCCUCACCACGACGGACUCGAGGUUUCUGCCAUCAGAUCCCUCACUACGGACCGUAUGCUGAUGGACUUCUCUGGGCCUGCUACCUGAGGCCUGCUGCUUCCUCACAGACUUACUCUGUGGCUUCUUCCUGGACCCACCCGGUACCUGCACCCUCUCGUUGCCCAAGACCGGCCUCGCUGCUCCUGCCCUUCGGCCUCGGACCA
Long non-coding RNA from Gallus gallus (chicken), 437 nucleotides. NCBI's taxonomy places the organism in Eukaryota, Metazoa, Chordata, Aves, Galliformes, Phasianidae. The record is from Ensembl.